CUAGAGCUGCCGAUCCUGCUGAGCCCUGGCUCUGGGCAGAGGAGCUGGACUUCAGUCUUUCCCUUAUCGCUCCCCAGAGGCGUCUGCGUCCCUCCAAAGGUGUGAGCCAUGGCUGUCUACCCAGAGGCCCAGAAAAGGGUUCCCGAGGCCUUCCAUGGACCAGGUUGCCCCUUGGUGUGUGCAAGGCACUGGGAUGGGGAGGGUGGUGGUGGGAAAGGAGGCCUGGGCUCCCUGCUGGGGACAGAGGGAGAUGGGCAGGGCAGUGGCCUCCUGGCUGCCCGCCCAGCCGCGAGGAGCACUUCCUGCCUCGCCAGCUCCAGGGACUUGGGGACAAAUCACUGCGCUUCCCUCUGGGAAGCUUUGUCUUGCUGACCAGAGAGAAGUGGAGAGACGGCCAGCUGGUGUCUGCUGCACAGUCAGGCCCAGGGCACCUGGGGGAGGCAGAUCAGGCUGCAGAGCCGUUAGCAGCUCAAGGGGUCUUCUGAUGGGAAUCCCAGGCUGGGCCAAGCUUGUCCACACCCUCUUGCCUGCACUAGGCUCUCAGGGCUGUUCUGAGGAGGGUCCCCCAGCUCUGAGGCCAUCCUGCAGCACCAGCUGGGAUCGGCAGGCACUUGGGGCCGGAGCUGGGAGCCAGGUGCCCACUCCCUGCCGCGGCCUGAGCCACAGUGCAAGCCCUGCAGCAGGAGCACAGCCCGACAGAACACAGUGCCAUGGGCCUGGGAGAGAGGGGACAGAUGGAGCCAAGGAGCCAGAGGGCAGUUGGACUGGGACCAGCCUGGCACUCCGGAAACUCGAACCCAGGCCCCUCUCGUGGAAGUGUGAGGUCCCCGGCAUCAGUAGACGUCAGAAUGCAGACCCCCAGGCCCCACGAGGAUGCUGGGGUGAGAAUCCCCCUUUCAACAAGGUGCCUGGGACAGGAACGUCAGGCCAGUCCACUGCAGGUGUCAGGGAAGCACCCCAGGCCUGGCCUUGAGGAGGGCCCUCCGACACCCAGUCAGCCAGGGCCCUGUGGAGCCUGAAGCCCUCCCACUGCCGACUGUGCUCAGGUAUGUUUGCCCCACUCACCCGAGGCCAGGUGACCGGAGGACAAGGCCUUCGGGCCUUGGCUGCAGCCCCUCAGGAGGGGUCCUGGGACGGCAGAUUUGGAAGGGCAGCGAGGGAGAGGCGCGCAGCAGAUACGCCAAGUGUGACCAGAGCGGGGCUUGAGUUCCAGCUUACGGUGCAAACCAGAAAGACCCUUGGGGAGGGUCCCCUGGCAUCCACUGACUGCAGGACUCCUGGGGGGGAGGGGCGAGGCUUCUGGGCUGGUUGGAGGGAGGGUUCCGGGAUCUGCAUCCCAAAUUAUUUACUUCUGCAUUGAUAUUCUUCGAGUGACAAGAUAAUAUAAUGAUCAUUGUAAAAACUCCCAAUUUUCACAUCCCUUAGUGGAAAGUGAAACCCAAACUCCUCAGAAAGAAAAAUUCCAGACAAUGAGCCAUGUCCAGGGAGGGGCCUCUCAGGGGCAGCGGAGUGGUUGAGAGCUGUGGUGCCUGCAGGGCUGGACCACAGGGGCCAAGGGGAAAGAGGGCCUUCCUUCUGCAGGAAGUGCUCUGGGACCAAGAAUCCAGUAGAAGCUGCAGCCGGUGUUCUGGAACCGACUUGCAGGGAGGCCUCUUUGUCUGUGUGACCCACUCCAGGACUCCAGCACUGGUGGAAAGCAGGGUGGGGGGACCGUGUGGAAGUGUACGUUGCUAUUAAAAAACAAAAGCCAAACCCUCCCACCAGAAUGGGAAGCCAACGGAAACCUGGGGAAGUGCUCCACCUUUGAGGCACAGGGUGUUUAUAAAGACCUCAGGGAAGGAGAGCGGGAGGGACUCACAGACUCCACAGGUAUAGACAGAGAGGAAUAAAACAG
RNAcentral lists this long non-coding RNA (1894 nucleotides) under Marmota monax (woodchuck). Lineage: Eukaryota; Metazoa; Chordata; Mammalia; Rodentia; Sciuridae. The record is from RNAcentral.